CCUACGGGAGGCAGCAGUAAGGAAUCUUCCACAAUGGACGAAAGUCUGAUGGAGCAACGCCGCGUGCAGGAUGAAGGCUUUCGGGUCGUAAACUGCUUUUAUAUGGGAAGAUUAUGACGGUACCAUAUGAAUAAGGACCGGCUAACUACGUGCCAGCAGCCGCGGUAAUACGUAGGGUCCAAGCGAUAUCCGGAAUUACUGGGCGUAAAGCGUGUGUAGGUGGAUUAAUAAGUGUGAUGCGAAAUCCGGCGGCUCAACCGUUUGGACUGUGUCGCAUACUGUUAGUCUAGAGGACGGCAGAGGUAAGUGGAAUUACGGGUGUAGCAGUGAAAUGCGUAGAUAUCCGUAGGAACACCAAUGGCGAAGGCAGCUUACUGGGCCACACCUGACACUGAGACACGAAAGCGUGGGGAGCGAACAGGAUUAGAUACCCUGGUAGUCCACGCCGUAAACGAUGCAUACUAUUAGUAUGGGAUAUCGACCCCCUGUGCUGAGAAGCUAACGCGAUAAGUAUGCCGCCUGGGGAGUACGAGCGCAAGCUUAAAACUCAAAUGAAUUGACGGCUGAGACGNGCGAGACGACACGAGGAGAGG
Molecule: ribosomal RNA, 593 nt
Filed under: uncultured bacterium
Lineage: Bacteria
Description: bacterial SSU rRNA
Rfam family: Bacterial small subunit ribosomal RNA
Source: RNAcentral